UCCGGUGUAGCUCAGACGGUAAGAGCGUCACGCUGAAGACGUGAAGGCCGCUGGUUCGACCCCAGCCGCCGGAA
This 74-nucleotide transfer RNA is filed under the name Planctomycetota bacterium. Its description in RNAcentral is "Planctomycetes bacterium (rhizosphere metagenome) tRNA-Phe". It matches the Rfam family "tRNA". From Rfam's summary of the family: Transfer RNA (tRNA) molecules are approximately 80 nucleotides in length. Their secondary structure includes four short double-helical elements and three loops (D, anti-codon, and T loops). Lineage: Bacteria; Pseudomonadati; Planctomycetota. The record is from RNAcentral.